This 496-nucleotide ribosomal RNA is filed under the name uncultured bacterium. Its description in RNAcentral is "partial 16S ribosomal RNA". It matches the Rfam family "Bacterial small subunit ribosomal RNA", at positions 28 to 507 of the family's 1533-position model. The record is from RNAcentral.
GACGAACGCUGGCGGCGUGCCUAAUACAUGCAAGUUGAGCGCUGAAGGUUGGUACUUGUACCAACUGGAUGAGCAGCGAACGGGUGAGUAACGCGUGGGGAAUCUGCCUUUGAGCGGGGGACAACAUUUGGAAACGAAUGCUAAUACCGCAUAAAAACUUUAAACACAAGUUUUAAGUUUGAAAGAUGCAAUUGCAUCACUCAAAGAUGAUCCCGCGUUGUAUUAGCUAGUUGGUGGGGUAAAGGCUCACCAAGGCGACGAUACAUAGCCGACCUGAGAGGGGGAGGGACCACACUGGGACUGAGACCGGGCCAAGACUCCUCAGGGAGGCAGCAGUAGGGAAGCUUACGCAAAGGACGAAAGUCUACCGGAGCAAGGCCGGGUGAGUGAAGAAGUUUUUCGGACAGUAAAACUCUGUGGUAAGGGAAGACCAAGUACGUUAGUAACUGAACGUACCUUGACGGUACCUUACCAGAAAGCCACGGCUAACUACGUG